AAUGAACGCUGGCGGCGUGUCUUAAGCAUGCAAGUCGUGCGGCAAGGGUAGCAAUACCCCUAGAGCGGCGGACUGGUGAGUAACGCGUGGGUGAUCUGCCCUUGGGUUUGGGAUAGCCAUUAGAAAUAGUGGGUAAUACCGAAUACGAUGGCGGGACUGUGGUCUUGUCAUGAAAGGCGCUUCGGCGCCACCCGAGGAUGAGCCCGCGUCCCAUUAGCUAGUUGGUGAGGUAACGGCCCACCAAGGCGAUGAUGGGUAGGCGGCCUGAGAGGGUGUACGCCCACACUGGGACUGAGAUACGGCCCAGACUCCUACGGGAGGCAGCAGCUAAGAAUAUUGCGCAAUGGACGAAAGUCUGACGGAGCGACGCCGCGUGGAUGACGAAGGCCGAAAGGUUGUAAAAUCCUUUUGUUGGGGAAGAAUAAGGCUGGGAGGGAAUGCCCGGCUGAUGACAUGAACCGACGAAUAAGUCCCGGCUAACUACGUGCCAGCCGCCGCCGUAA
This 503-nucleotide ribosomal RNA is filed under the name uncultured bacterium. RNAcentral describes it as "partial 16S ribosomal RNA". It matches the Rfam family "Bacterial small subunit ribosomal RNA", at positions 29 to 523 of the family's 1533-position model. The record is from RNAcentral.